This 605-nucleotide ribosomal RNA is filed under the name Corallomycetella repens. Its description in RNAcentral is "eukaryotic LSU rRNA". It matches the Rfam family "Eukaryotic large subunit ribosomal RNA", at positions 38 to 667 of the family's 3401-position model. The record is from RNAcentral. Lineage: Eukaryota; Fungi; Ascomycota; Sordariomycetes; Hypocreales; Nectriaceae.
GCAUAUCAAUAAGCGGAGGAAAAGAAACCAACAGGGAUUGCCCUAGUAACGGCGAGUGAAGCGGCAACAGCUCAAAUUUGAAAUCUGGCCCCCGGGUCCGAGUUGUAAUUUGUAGAGGAUGCUUUUGGUGCGGUGCCUUCCGAGUUCCCUGGAACGGGACGCCAUAGAGGGUGAGAGCCCCGUCUGGUUGGACACCAAGCCUCUGUAAAGCUCCUUCGACGAGUCGAGUAGUUUGGGAAUGCUGCUCUAAAUGGGAGGUAUAUGUCUUCUAAAGCUAAAUACCGGCCAGAGACCGAUAGCGCACAAGUAGAGUGAUCGAAAGAUGAAAAGCACUUUGAAAAGAGGGUUAAACAGUACGUGAAAUUGUUGAAAGGGAAGCGCUUGUGACCAGACGUGGGCCCGGUCAAUCAUCCAGCGUUCUCGCUGGUGCACUUGGCCGGGCUCAGGCCAGCAUCAGUUCGGCGCGGGGGAUAAAGGCGUCGGGCAUGUGGCUCCCCCGGGAGUGUUAUAGCCCGUCGCGCAAUACCCUGCGCCGGACUGAGGUUCGCGCAUCUGCAAGGAUGCUGGCGUAAUGGUCAUCAGCGACCCGUCUUGAAACACGGACC